GAGUUUGAUCUUGGCUCAGAUUGAACGCUGGCGGCAUGCCUUACACAUGCAAGUCGAACGGCAGCACGGGAGCUUGCUCCUGGUGGCGAGUGGCGAACGGGUGAGUAAUGCAUCGGAACGUAUCCUGGAGUGGGGGGAUAACGUAGCGAAAGUUACGCUAAUACCGCAUAUUCUGUGAGCAGGAAAGCGGGGGACCUUCGGGCCUCGCGCUCUUGGAGCGGCCGAUGUCGGAUUAGCUAGUUGGUGAGGUAAAGGCUCACCAAGGCGACGAUCCGUAGCAGGUCUGAGAGGAUGAUCUGCCACACUGGAACUGAGACACGGUCCAGACUCCUAGGGAGGCAGCAGUGGGGAAUUUUGGACAAUGGGGGCAACCCUGAUCCAGCCAUGCCGCGUGAGUGAAGAAGGCC
RNAcentral lists this ribosomal RNA (407 nucleotides) under bacterium enrichment culture clone ALO1_GLFRUDD03GZJGV. Its description in RNAcentral is "bacterial SSU rRNA". It matches the Rfam family "Bacterial small subunit ribosomal RNA", at positions 9 to 416 of the family's 1533-position model. The record is from RNAcentral.